Molecule: transfer RNA, 75 nt
Filed under: Chitinophaga cymbidii
Lineage: Bacteria; Pseudomonadati; Bacteroidota; Chitinophagia; Chitinophagales; Chitinophagaceae
Description: tRNA-Arg
Rfam family: tRNA
About the family: Transfer RNA (tRNA) molecules are approximately 80 nucleotides in length. Their secondary structure includes four short double-helical elements and three loops (D, anti-codon, and T loops). Further hydrogen bonds mediate the characteristic L-shaped molecular structure. tRNAs have two regions of fundamental functional importance: the anti-codon, which is responsible for specific mRNA codon recognition, and the 3' end, to which the tRNAs corresponding amino acid is attached (by aminoacyl-tRNA synthetases). tRNAs cope with the degeneracy of the genetic code in two manners: having more than one tRNA (with a specific anti-codon) for a particular amino acid; and 'wobble' base-pairing, i.e. permitting non-standard base-pairing at the 3rd anti-codon position.
Source: RNAcentral
GGCUCUGUAGCUCAACUGAAUAGAGCAUCUGACUACGGAUCAGAAGGUUUCAGGUUUGAAUCCUGACAGAGUCAC